RNAcentral lists this ribosomal RNA (1070 nucleotides) under uncultured soil eukaryote. RNAcentral describes it as "SSU rRNA". It matches the Rfam family "Eukaryotic small subunit ribosomal RNA", at positions 91 to 1190 of the family's 1831-position model. The record is from RNAcentral.
GAUGGCUCAUUAAAUCAGUUAUAAUUUCUUUGAUAGUACCUCUUACUUGGAUAACUGUUGGAAUCCGAGAGCUAAUACAUGCAAAAAAGUCCUGACUUGGGGCAACUCCGGAAGGGAUGUAUUUAUUAGAUGUGAAGCCAAUACGGCGAUGUUUCAUUCAAAUUUCUGCCCUAUCAACUUUUGACGGUAGUGUAGUGGCCUACCGUGGUUUUAACGGGUGACGGAGCAUUAGGGUGCGAUGCCGGAGAGGGAGCCUGAGAAACGGCUACCACGUCUACGGGCGGCAGCAGGCGCGUAAAUUACCCAAUCCUGACUCAGGGAGGUAGUGACAAUAAAUAACAAUGCUGGUCCUCAUAAGGGACUGGUAAUUGGAAUGAGGACGAUUUAAAAUAACUACCGAGUAGCAAUUACAGGGCAAGUCUGGUGCCAGCAGCCGCGGUAAUUCCAGCUGUAAUAGCGUAUUUUAAAGUUGUUGCAGUUAAAACGCUCGUAGUUGGAUUUUAGGACGUGACGGGUUUGGUCCGCGUUUCAGCGAGCACUGACCUGUCCGUCCUCCUUAUGGGAUACUCACCUCUGCGCUUAAUUGAGUAGAGGUAGCAGCCGGGCAACCGGUCGGGUUCCCAUUCUUUUACUUUGAAUAAAUCGUAUUUUGAUCAAAGAAGGCCGGAGUGCCAAUGGUCGAUGCAGCAUGGGAUAAUACAAUAAGCGUCUGUCUUGUUGUGUUGGUUUCUUAAAGAUAGACGAAUGAUUAAGAGGGAUAGUUGGGGGUUUUCGUAUUUAAUUGUCAGAGGUGAAAUUCUUGGAUUUGUUAAAGACGAACUACUGCGAAAGCAUUAACCAAGGAUGUUUUCAUUAAUCAAGAACGAAAGUAGGGGGAUCGAAGACGAUCAGAUACCGUCGUAGUCUCUACCAUAAACGAUGCCGACCAGUUAUUCGGAGACGUUAUUUUUAUGACUCCCCGAGCAGCUUGUGAGAAAUCAGAGUGUUUGGGUUCUGGGGGGAGUAUGGUCGCAAGGCUGAAACUUGAAGAAAUUGACGGAGGGGCACCACCAGGAGUGGAGCCUGCGGCU